Molecule: long non-coding RNA, 813 nt
Organism: Eurytemora carolleeae
Lineage: Eukaryota; Metazoa; Arthropoda; Copepoda; Calanoida; Temoridae
Exons: 5
Source: RefSeq, a predicted model, not a curated record
AUGAAAAUACAAUGUAAAAAGUAUAUUUUGAAAUGGAAAGAGGUAAUAUUCUCUGAACGAGCUCAAAUUCAGGCUGCAGACGAUUUUCUAGAUCUGAAAAUAAACUCGCGAUAUUUUCAAGCCUGGAGAGAAUUAGUGAGGAUGAGUAAACGUAGAGAAUAUUCGCUCAGCAUCAAAAGUGAUUUAUUUUAUUCCAGGAUUCUGAAACGAAAAUAUUUCUUUUUGUGGCUCAGAUAUAUUCUCUUGAAAGAAUCAAUAUUGGAAAGCGAAAACACGAGGGAAUUUCUCCGAUCCAAGGUUUCCAUUCUUCUACCUGACUAUAUCCCAUUGAGAGAAAAUUAAAGAAAAAUCAUAUUAUCUAAAAAAUUUAUAUUUUUAAAAGUCGCACAAAAAUAUAUUUUGAAGAUGAAAAUCGGUCCUUUUAAACAAGAAAGUGAUAACUUUACCAAAGUGCGGUAAAACGUUUUUUUUUGAUCAAUUUCGUAGAUUUUCAUGCAAAUUUUUUUCAAUCAAUUUAAGUGAUAUUUAAGUUGUUCGUGCUCUACGGACUUCUCAGCUUUUGCGGAAGGGAAUGUAUCUUGUGUUUGUAAACUUUGUAUUGUGUUCGAUUGUAAAUAGUCAAAAAUGCAUUAAAUUAUAUGCAUUUGCAAAUUUAUUUAUUUUCAACUACUUUACAGGGAAGUUAAGAGCAUUCACUCUGUCAACGCAUGUUGAAUUGACUUUGAAAAGUCCAAAAACCUGCAUUAAAAAAUGCAUUUAAAAACUUAAAUAUAAAAAAGAUGUGAAAUUUGAAGACAAGGUGUAAAAAAAUAG